UACGUAGGGUGCGAGCGUUAAUCGGAAUUACUGGGCGUAAAGCGUGCGCAGGCUGUUUUGUAAGUCAGAUGUGAAAUCCCUGAGCUCAGCUUAGGAACUGCGUUUGAAACUACAAGACUAGAAUAUGUCAGAGGGGGGUAGAAUUCCACGUGUAGCAGUGAAAUGCGUAGAGAUGUGGAGGAAUACCAAUGGCGAAGGCAGCCCCCUGGGAUAAUAUUGACGCUCAUGCACGAAAGCGUGGGGAGCAAACAGG
RNAcentral lists this ribosomal RNA (253 nucleotides) under uncultured bacterium. RNAcentral's name for it is "partial 16S ribosomal RNA". It matches the Rfam family "Bacterial small subunit ribosomal RNA", at positions 524 to 776 of the family's 1533-position model. The record is from RNAcentral.